UACGAAGGAUGCAAGCGUUAUCCGGAUUUAUUGGGUUUAAAGGGUGCGUAGGCGGCUUAUUAAGUCAGUGGUGAAAGCCCGGAGCUCAACUCUGGAAUUGCCAUUGAUACUGAUGAGCUUGAGUACACUUGAGGUAGGCGGAAUGUGUCAUGUAGCGGUGAAAUGCUUAGAUAUGACACAGAACACCGAUUGCGAAGGCAGCUUACUAAAGUGUAACUGACGCUGAGGCACGAAAGCGUGGGGAUCAAACAGG
RNAcentral lists this ribosomal RNA (253 nucleotides) under uncultured prokaryote. RNAcentral's name for it is "partial 16S ribosomal RNA". It matches the Rfam family "Bacterial small subunit ribosomal RNA", at positions 524 to 776 of the family's 1533-position model. The record is from RNAcentral.